This is a non-coding RNA of Microcebus murinus (gray mouse lemur), 4425 nucleotides long. NCBI's taxonomy places the organism in Eukaryota, Metazoa, Chordata, Mammalia, Primates, Cheirogaleidae. The record is from RefSeq and is a predicted model, not a curated record.
CCGGGAGCUCGCAAGCCAGGCCGGGAGGGAGAGGGAGAGGGGAGAGAGGUAGAAAAUGCUGAAAGAUCAACUCUGAUUUGUGGCUGGCUUCCCAGCAGUCUCUGCUUCACCAUAUCUGGGAGCCAGAAGUACUCAAGUUUGAUAACUCAAAAGGCAGAACAAUCAGUCAAGGGGGUUUGGACCUAUAACCUAGAAUAAAUCUCUGGAGUUAGCUGUGGCCACUGUUCACCCUGAGGUUUGAGUUGCAAAGGAAGCCAGUCUUCAGAAAGCCAACGAAGGAUGAAGGAAAUGCUCUGAAAGGAGCAGGAAUAAGGAAUGGAAAGAAUACAAGCAGUAAUCAAUUUCCUGAGUCUAAAGCUUCCUAAGGUCCAGCUUUGUGCCUGUGCUAAGGAGCUACUGAAUAAUAGGAAUUUAUCACUGCCUGGGUUUUGAUAUGAAAAUUUCCUGUUUAACAAAAAAUCAUAUGCGACAUUUCUGACCAUGAAAAAUCUCAUUCAGUCUCAUGGACACAGAGACAGUUUUCCAGAGAAGACAUCUGUGGCGAAGCAGCUAAUACCCCGUGCACUUGUCAUCAGAUCAGUAACGGGGUCUGACUGGAUCUUUCUGAGCCGUGACUGCCCCUGGACUGAAUGGGGCAUUUAUCACACUGUCGCAGACAAGCCAGCUGACCAUCAUGCACACAGGCCCAAGAGCCUGUCAAUUAGCUCCUGUCCAUUAGCCCUUGUCCAAACACACAAACACUCUGGCCCUGGUACUGCAGUCACAUUAUCAGUCCCCUCCAGACCCUGCAAGCGUGACCAGGCAUGAGCUCGCUGUCUCCUAUCAUCCCUCAUCUCCACUUGGACAAACUGGCAGUUAAUUAGCUAAUGUGGGUAAAAAUGCUUGAAGCUGAAAAAUGCUCAGCUGAGCUAUUAUGAUAAUUGGCUCCUGGGCCACCUUCCUCCAAUUCCCUGCACCCUAAAGUUUGCCCACAGGACUCCUUCUAUCUGUCAAUAGGAAAACUACACAGGAAAUGACUGAGUGGCCACCCAUGUUCAAGGCUGGAGCCCCUCAAUCCUCCUGGUGUUGCUGCUAUGGAUUCAGCCAACUAGAAUUAUAAAUCUCGAAGCCUGGAGUCUGGAUUGGCUUUCCUCUUUUAAAAGAACUGGUAGCUUGGCAGAUCCAGGGUUCCCCAAAUUAUCAAACUUUGGAUGAUCUUUGGUCCCUUCAGCUGGAUGGACCACUGACAAAGCCAAAACAGCCUUUGAAAUGAUUAUGUGGAAAUCAUAGCCUUAUUUGCUUUAAACUUGACAUUCCUAGGGCCAAAAUUCAAUUCUCCAUCUCUCAAGUCAAACUCCUAUAGGAGCCAUGAGAAAUCUUUGUUCAGAAAGUUGAUCACUGAAGGUCAGGGUGAUUGCUAAAGUGCCCAAAGCUGUUGACAUCUCCAACAGUUAUCAAAUGCCAAAAUAGGAAGGUGCCCAGGGCAGACACAUGUUACUCCUGUCUAUCUCCCCUUUCUGAAAGGUACUUUUGCGCAGUGGAGCUGAAAAUAGCUGACCUCAAUCACCCAAAGCCCAAUUUCAGAAGAGUUAACAGCACAAUUUCAUUGUGGUCCUGUUUGGGCAAUUCCUGUAUGUUCCUUAAUGAUACUUAAGGAACAGUUAGAGCAUCCUCUGUUUCUCCCUGCAUUUCUAUCAUCCUUCCUCUCCACUCCCAUUCCUAAGUCCUCAUCAGUACUCAUUGUGGCAGCUAUUAGAGUCUCCUGGGUCACCCCACCUCACUCCUCCCCCACCCCCAUCUCUGCUAACUCUAAGCUCUCCUCCACUGCAGCAAGAGAGAUCAUUUGAAAGUCAUUUGAAAACACAGUUAUGACCAUAUGACUUCCAGCCUAAAUGUGUUUGAAGGCCCUCUGUCAUCCACAGAGUAUGUUCAAAUGCCCUAACUUGACAAACAAGUCACUUUAGAAUCUGGUCCCCACUUCUCACCUCCCAACACGCCAUGCUUGUACCACAUCAGGCAGUAUCCCCUUCCCCACCUGUGACCUGGACAUGCUGCCCUUACACCUUUUCCUUCUUGAAAUUCCCUCUCCACCUCAUCUCCAUCCAUCCUCAAAGGCCAGCCCAAGUACCACCUCUUCUGGGAAGCCUUCCAUGAGUUGAUCUCUGAACUCCCAGAGCACUUUCCUUGUUAUUCUCUUCAGCCUGCCCUGCUUUAUACAGUAGCUGCUAAUGUACAAUUGUUCUCUCCCCCAUGGGACGGUGGGCAUCUUAAGAAAGUCCUAUAAGCUAGUGUGUAGUAAGUAUACUGUAAGUACUGGUAACCAUUUAGUGACUGAUGAACAAACAGAAGCAGAAAGAUUAUAGGCUAACAAGAGCAUGAAUCAGAGGAAGAGAACUGGAAUGAAGGGAGAACCCCAAAUCAUUAUAGAAAAAGAAUGGUUGACAAGGUUGAAGACUUAGCUAUCAUCAUAAUAACAAUAGGUGUGGGUAUUGUGCUAAGAAUUAUCAUGUUUACUUAUCACAUCCACUCCGUCAUGUAGGUACUAUUACUAUCAGCAUUUUAUAGAUGAGAAACUGAGGCUUGGAGAGGGCAAAUUCAUUUUGUUUCAGCCACUGGCCUCCUUGUUGGUUUAAACACAUUCUACAUCACAAGAAAUGAUAAAGAACAAAAGUAAAUUAAAAAAAAAAUAAAAUACACACACAUCCUAUGUACUUCCACCUCAGAGCCUUUACCCUCUGCCUGAAACAUUCUUCCUCCAAGUAUAGGCAGGGCUUGCUUCCUCCCUUCUUGCAGAUCUCUGUUCAAAACUCACCUUGUCAAUGAGGCUUCCCUAUGAAUCCUAUAUAAAAUGGCAAAUAAUCCUCCUGGCACUAUCCCCUUACCUACUUUAUCUCCAUAGCACUUAGCUCCAUCGGUCAUACUACAUAUUUUAUUUAUUUUGUUUAUUUUCAGUCUCUUUCCACUAGCUUAUAAAUUUCAUGGUCACACAAUCAGAGGCAAAACCCAGAUUCAAACCCAGAUUCUGACUCCAAAGCCAGAUGAUAACAUUAUAGUCACAUGGGGCAAAGGGAACAGACUUAGUCUUCAUGCCCCCAAAGGCAAAUACUUUUGAUCAUUGGGGAGGCUUCAGAGAGGCUAAUUUUGUCUUAACAUGAGUACAAUCCAGUUGUUAGCCGGGGCCCUCUCUGCCUCUUUAAAACCAGAUAAGACUGGCUCAAAUCCCCAUUCCCAGAGAUUUCCAAAAAUAUUCCCAAACAUUAUUGAAACUCCCAGGGCAAUUACAUUGUUAUGAUUACCUCUGGUUCUGAGUCUUUGCUUCCUUAGAUCAUCUCACGUGCCACAUGUGUUAUCCCUGUCCUGCACCUGGUUUUCAACCCUUUCUAUAAAUACCACACACACACACACACACACACAAUCGCUUACCAGAGGCCUUUGUUACCAAACUUUACUGAACAUUCAUGGAUUUAGCAUAGCCACAGAAAACUUUCCAAAUUUAGCAUUAGACGUUCUUGUUGUUAAAAGCCUGUCUGCUACUAUGCCACGCUAUUUGACUUUCCUUUCUUUCUCCUUCUUUGCCUGGCCCCCAAAUUCUCGAAAGCAAAAACAAACAAGCAAAGGAAAAACUAAUUUUCUUAUUCAAACCACUUAGCUCUGUCCUGCCCCUAAACUUAGUUCUUUAACCUCUCCAUUUGUGUAGCCAAUAAUUUGGCCAAAAUACUUAAGUGGUCAGGUUAGGUCAUUCUCAUCCUUUGUCUUAUUUUCAGGGAUGGAGGGUAGUUCAGUUCUUUCAGUCCAUGAGAGAAAAACUUUCCUUCAGCACUAACUCUCCAAUUAUGGGACAGGUGACCUUUUAAGGCAGUGAGCGCCCCAUCCUUGGAAUUAAGCAAGCAGAGGGUGGACUGAUAUCUGAGUAAAGUACAUGUAGAUUUGCAUAUAAAACAUGGAUGAAGAAGAUGGUGAAGAUCCUUCAACCCUCAGAACUUAUGAUUAUAUAACAGACCAGGCCAUUUGCCUUUUUUUCUGAACAUCAUGAAAAUCUACAGGACAUUUUCAAUUGCAUAUAGUAGAAAACUAGCUCAAACUUGCUUAAACAAAAAAGGGAGAUUUUUUUGCCUCACAUAAAUGAAAAAUGAGGCAGCUGAAUCCAGAAGCUCAAAUAAAUUUCCAGGUAUAUAUCGUCUCCAUUUCUUGACACCACUUAGCUAAUGUUGACUUCUGACUUAGGUGAGGUCUCCCCUUGAAUGGCAAAAACAGCCAAUAGCCAGCUCCAGACCUACAUUCUUCCACUUCUCUCCCUUACCCCCAACCCCCUAAUAGAAGAGAUGACCUCUGUUACAUUUGUUCCAGCAAAAGUCUCCCAUUGCCCCACUUGGGUGAAACGCCUAUCACUAAACCAAUCACUGUGAUGAUUGGCCAGGCCAGGGUUUUGGUGUUUUUGUUUGUUGU